Molecule: long non-coding RNA, 1011 nt
Organism: Mytilus californianus (California mussel)
Lineage: Eukaryota; Metazoa; Mollusca; Bivalvia; Mytilida; Mytilidae
Exons: 4
Source: RefSeq, a predicted model, not a curated record
CAACGCCCAUGCAAUUGUAACCAAUAUAAAGUGAGACGGACUUUCAUUUAGCAAAAAGUCUCGGAACACAAAGCGCAAAGAUUUACACAACAGUUCGGUUUCUCAUAAAACAGAAAAAGGCAAGGAGCAAAAUAUAUCUGACUACUGGAGACUUAAACAACUGCAGCUGAAUUAUUCUUUCUUCCGUUAUGCAAAUUAAUAUUAAAAUGUAUAUAUUUCUUUCUUCGUUUGCCGUUACGUUAUGUACAGUGACUGAUGCUUGGUUAACUAAAUAUGAUUUUAAUGGUGAUUAUAGUGACCAUAAAUGGAAUAGCCAGGUGAGUCCUCCGUGUAUAAAAGCUAAUGAAGAGUGUUUCUAUACAAACCAGUGUUGUAGCAGAAAUGAUGUUUGUGUUAUGGAUUCAAAACUUUCAUUGUAUGCUGGAAGGAAAAUUGGACUUUGUCGAGAUCUUGAAUAUAUUCGAGGAGAUGUCCAGCCAUCUAAAUUUGAAGGAGAGGCCUGUGAGGACAGCUCCGAUUGCAUUGAUGGAUGCUGCAUAUCAAUUAGACGACACAGAUACGGUGUUCUACAAGUUUGUGCACGGGAAAACGGUCCUUUUAUGUGCAUCACGUCUUAUCGUCAGUUUGCCGAUGGAUUAUCGAAAAAGUAAAAUAGCUAAUGUGUUUAAAAAAGUCUUCAGUUUGUUUGUUGUUUUGUUAAAUAUUUUUAAGAAAUAAGGAAGUAUUUAGGAUAACGAAGCAUGAAAACCUUUCAACUAAUAGUUUUAAGGUUUAAAUCCGAGUUAACACUAAUUAGUGAUAAAACGUUUGUGUUACAGGAAUAUACAAAAGACUAAGCAACCAGAAACUUCUUAUGUACAUUUCUACAUGUAAAAACCGAUCUUGAUUUUGCUUUUCCAUCAAGAGCAUCCGACAUAUAUUUCCAUUUACUUAUUCUUGAAUACAAAGGAUUUGCUGAUUGUAGUAAUGGUAUGCACUUUUAAAUGGUAUAAUAAAAUAAACAAAUCUCAA